CCCUUUCACACACAUCCUGUCACCUUCCCUUUGGCCUUGCAAACUCUCAGUACCUUUCUUUUGUGGCAGUCAUUUGCAUAUGUACAGUGCCCAAUCCCCAGUCACUGUGUACAGAACCGGAGAAGUCCACCGUAAUAAUGUCACCAAGUGCUACUGCUUUCCUCCCCUGGACCACAGCCAGUGUUCCAUACUGCCCAUCCAUAUGUGCUACAGCUUUCUGCACUAUAAAUUGACUCCGGUGUCAAAUUAUUCAACUGCAGCUGAGCAGUGGC
Sinocyclocheilus rhinocerous is the source of this 272-nucleotide long non-coding RNA. RefSeq lists it as uncharacterized. The transcript has 3 exons. Lineage: Eukaryota; Metazoa; Chordata; Actinopteri; Cypriniformes; Cyprinidae. The record is from RefSeq and is a predicted model, not a curated record.